AAGGAUCAUUAUUGAAUGAACUUGGUGUGGUUGUUGCUGGCCCUCUCCGGGGGCAUGUGCACACCCGCCAUUCUCAUCUCUCCACCUGUGCACAUCUUGUAGACUUGGAUAGACUUUCCGAGGCAACUCGGUCGGUCAGCUUUCUUUGCAUUUCCAAGCCUAUGUUUUUCAUAUACCCUAAAGUAUGUAACAGAAUGUAUAAUUGGGCCCAAGUGCCUAUAAACCUUAUACAACUUUCAGCAACGGAUCUCUUGGCUCUCGCAUCGAUGAAGAACGCAGCGAAAUGCGAUAAGUAAUGUGAAUUGCAGAAUUCAGUGAAUCAUCGAAUCUUUGAACGCACCUUGCGCUCCUUGGUAUUCCGAGGAGCAUGCCUGUUUGAGUGUCAUAUAAUUCUCAACCUUAUUAGCUUUUGCUGAUUAAUGGCUUGGAUGUGGGGGUUCUCUUUUGCCGGCUUCUUCAGAGGUCAGCUCCCCUUAAAUGCAUUAGCUGGUGCCCCGCGUGGACUGUCUAUUUGGUGUGAUAAUUAUCUACGCCGUGGAUGUCUGCAAUGGGUCGUGCACUGCUUAUAGCUGUCCGUUCAUUUGGACAAUACAUGACAAUUUGACCU
Molecule: ribosomal RNA, 607 nt
Filed under: Hymenogaster rehsteineri
Lineage: Eukaryota; Fungi; Basidiomycota; Agaricomycetes; Agaricales; Hymenogastraceae
Description: eukaryotic LSU rRNA
Rfam family: 5.8S ribosomal RNA (bases 232-385)
Source: RNAcentral